Pangasianodon gigas (Mekong giant catfish) is the source of this 72-nucleotide non-coding RNA. The record is from the annotation of a GenBank genome assembly. NCBI's taxonomy places the organism in Eukaryota, Metazoa, Chordata, Actinopteri, Siluriformes, Pangasiidae.
UACACAUAAACUAAAAGUCUAUAACUAUAAGGGCACCACAUAUACACACACACACACACACACACACACUCA